This 77-nucleotide microRNA precursor is filed under the name Podarcis lilfordi (Lilford's wall lizard). Lineage: Eukaryota; Metazoa; Chordata; Lepidosauria; Squamata; Lacertidae. The record is from RNAcentral.
UGUGUGUGUCUGUGUGUGUGUGUGUGUGUGUGUGUGUGGUGUGUACACACAUCUACACACACACAAACACACACACA